GAUGGUCGCGGGAGCCUUUGGGCUCACGAGGAAAGUCCGGACUCCAUAGAGCACCGUAGCAGCUAACGGCUGCCUGCCGCAAGGUACGGAUUAGAGCAACAGAGACGAGCCGACUUCGGGUCGGGUGAAACGGGCAAUCUCUACGGGGAGCAACACUAAAUAGACAAUCGAUGAUCCUGCUCGGGGAGAUUGCGGGUAAGUGGCUUGAGCCAUGGUGUGAAUCAUGGCCUAGAUGAAUGAUCGUCGGCCGUGCGUCAGCACGGAACAUAAUCCGGCUUAUCGGCGGGCUUU
This 291-nucleotide RNase P RNA is filed under the name pig gut metagenome. RNAcentral's name for it is "Bacterial RNase P class A". It matches the Rfam family "Bacterial RNase P class A". From Rfam's summary of the family: Ribonuclease P (RNase P) is a ubiquitous endoribonuclease, found in archaea, bacteria and eukarya as well as chloroplasts and mitochondria. Its best characterised activity is the generation of mature 5'-ends of tRNAs by cleaving the 5'-leader elements of precursor-tRNAs. Cellular RNase Ps are ribonucleoproteins. The record is from RNAcentral.